GUGCACCAGUCGCGAAAACUCCGCAAUACGCGAAAGCGUGACGGGGCCAUCCCGAGUGCCGUCCGCUGAGGAUGGCUUUCCCUGGUGUAGAUAUCUGGGGGAAUAAGGAGAGGGCAAGUCUGGUGUCAGCCGCCGCGGUAAUACCAGCUCUUCGAGUGGUAGGGAUGUUUAUUGGGUCUGAAGCAUCCGUAGCUGGCUGUGCAAGUCCUCCGUUAAAUCCAGCGAUUUAAUCGUUGGAUUGCGGGGGAUAAUGUUCGGCUAGGGGAUGGGAGAAGCCAACGGUAUUCCCGGGGUAGGGGUGAAAUACUAUAAUCCCGGGAGGAACACCAGUGGCGAAGGCUGUUGGCUAGAACACGCCCGACGGUGAGGGAUGAAAGCUGGGGGAGCGAACCGGAUUAGAUACCCGGGUAGUCC
RNAcentral lists this ribosomal RNA (414 nucleotides) under uncultured crenarchaeote. RNAcentral describes it as "partial 16S ribosomal RNA". It matches the Rfam family "Archaeal small subunit ribosomal RNA", at positions 330 to 747 of the family's 1478-position model. Lineage: Archaea; Thermoproteati; Thermoproteota. The record is from RNAcentral.